GUCCUUCGGGGUACACGAGUGGCGAACGGGUGAGUAACACGUGGGUGAUCUGCCCUGCACUUUGGGAUAAGCCUGGGAAACUGGGUCUAAUACCGGAUAGGACCACGCAGCUUCACGGUGUGUGGUGGAAAGCUUUUGCGGUGUGGGAUGGGCCCGCGGCCUAUCAGCUUGUUGGUGGGGUAAUGGCCUACCAAGGCGACGACGGGUAGCCGGCCUGAGAGGGUGUCCGGCCACACUGGGACUGAGAUACGGCCCAGACUCCUACGGGAGGCAGCAGUGGGGAUAUAUUGCACAAUGGGCGCAAGCCUGAUGCAGCGACGCCGCGUGGGGGAUGACGGCCUUCGGGUUGUAAACCUCUUUCAGUAGGGACGAAGCGCAAGUGACGGUACCUACAGAAGAAGCACCGGCCAACUACGUGCCAGCAGCCGCGGUAAUACGUAGGGUGCGAGCGUUGUCCUGUAUUACUGGGCGUAGAGAACUCGUA
This 484-nucleotide ribosomal RNA is filed under the name uncultured Mycobacterium sp. RNAcentral describes it as "bacterial SSU rRNA". It matches the Rfam family "Bacterial small subunit ribosomal RNA", at positions 75 to 573 of the family's 1533-position model. Lineage: Bacteria; Bacillati; Actinomycetota; Actinomycetes; Mycobacteriales; Mycobacteriaceae. The record is from RNAcentral.